Molecule: long non-coding RNA, 914 nt
Filed under: Lathyrus oleraceus (garden pea)
Lineage: Eukaryota; Viridiplantae; Streptophyta; Magnoliopsida; Fabales; Fabaceae
Description: Pisum sativum (pea) long non-coding RNA (PSAT_LNC000479)
Source: RNAcentral
UUGUAUUAACAGAUGAAUAAAGAAUGAAAGAAUAUUAUACAUUUCAUGGGAGAGGGAUACAUUUGUUAUGAAUGGGGGUUGUCAUGGCAAUCAAACAACAUAAAUAUAUGCCUCAUACAUCAUACAAGUAGGCAACAGUCAAUCAAACAAUAAGAUAUUUAAACAAGUAUGUGAUCAAAUCAAAUAAUCAAAGAAAUGAAAUGAAUGAGCAUUAAACAACGCAUGAGUGUAAGUGUAAGGGAACCGGCUCAUUGUAAGAAAGCCCAAGAGUAAGCUAUGUGAGGUUGAUGGCGAUGCUUAAAAAGCAAUCGACUUACAAGGGUGUAAAAAUGGGGCUCGAUAUUAAAUCGAGAAAGUAUGAUUUUUAUAGUUUGAAAAAAUGGUUUUUUGAACUAAAUUCAAAUACAAUAACUACGCAUUAUUAACACAUGAAAUUAUAAUAAGCAUAAAAAGAGAUAUUAACAAAAUACUAAAAGAAAUAAAAAAUGCUAAAGGAAAAUAAAAUCAAAUAAAAAGCAAAAAGUGUCACACAUGAGUAUUGAACCCACCCCACUCAAGAACAUGCACACUACCCUUCUCCACCAGACCACUCAGGGUUAUAUGCUAUUGAAGUACUACCUUAAAUAUAUAAACCGGAAUGAAAAAAUAAAUAAAAAAAAAGAUUAUGAACAAAACUAACAUAUAAAACCUUUUUAUGUUUUUGUUUAUUAUUAUCUUUUAUCUCUGUUAAACAAAACAAAUUUGAUUAAAAAAAUUAAAUUAAAAAAAGAAAUGAAAACAAAGAAAUGAAAACAAAAGAAAACAGAGGCUCGUCUUCUUCUCUCCCACCUCACAAACUCAACCUUCCCCCAACAAUGGCAAUCUCACGAACUCGCACCUCUCGUCCCUCUUAUGACAUCAACAAAACCCUCUCA